AACGAACGCUGGCGGCAGGCCUAACACAUGCAGUCGAGCGGACCUUUCGGGGUCAGCGGCGGACGGGUGAGUAACGCGUGGGAAUAUGCCCUUCUCUACGGAAUAGUUCUGGGAAACUGGGGGUAAUACCGUAUACGCCCUUUGGGGGAAAGAUUUAUCGGGGAAGGAUUAGCCCGCGUUGGAUUAGGUAGUUGGUGGGGUAAUGGCCUACCAAGCCGACGAUCCAUAGCUGGUUUGAGAGGAUGAUCAGCCACACUGGGACUGAGACACGGCCCAGACUCCUACGGGAGGCAGCAGUGGGGAAUCUUAGACAAUGGGGGCAACCCUGAUCUAGCCAUGCCGCGUGAGUGAUGAAGGCCUUAGGGUUGUAAAGCUCUUUCAGCUGGGAAGAUAAUGACGGUACCAGCAGAAGAAGCCCCGGCUAACUCCGUG
This 432-nucleotide ribosomal RNA is filed under the name uncultured bacterium. RNAcentral describes it as "partial 16S ribosomal RNA". It matches the Rfam family "Bacterial small subunit ribosomal RNA", at positions 29 to 507 of the family's 1533-position model. The record is from RNAcentral.